UUGGCUGUCAGGCCUCGGCUGGGUCCUAACGCCAAGAACGCUUCAUAGAGCCGUAGCGCCCUCUAGCCGCUGCCCAGCGUUAGAGACUCCAACCCUGGGUGAAUGUGUAAGGCUUGGGUUCUACUCCCCAAUACCCAUAAGGAGCUUCCCAGGAGGAAAGUGGUUGCUUCCAGAGCCACAGCCUAAGAGUCCCCAAAGAGCGGCACUGCUCUCUGUCCUCAUGCAGGGGCAGCCGGUCAGUACUGUCGGGGCAGCCACCACUCACCCUCAGCAGCUCCUCUUCUCCCUGCUCCUUCACAAACACCUCUUCCAGCUCCUGGUUGAGCCCUUCUAGGCUUCUGUGCAGACAAGGGCUGAGUCGCAGGACGGGGAGUCCUGGGGAGAGGCUGGGAAGGGAUGCCUAAGGAGAGGCAAAUGAAGCCAUCAGAUGAUGUCCCUCCACACUCAGCCCCAGACAGUUAUCAGCUCUGACUGGAGGGAAUGAUCAUGUCCACAAAACUUUUCU
Molecule: long non-coding RNA, 505 nt
Filed under: Mus pahari (shrew mouse)
Lineage: Eukaryota; Metazoa; Chordata; Mammalia; Rodentia; Muridae
Description: predicted gene 29477 (MGP_PahariEiJ_G0002600.1)
Source: RNAcentral